GACGAACGCUGGCGGCGUGCCUAAUACAUGCAAGUCGAACGCACGAAGUUGAAGAGCUUGCUCUUUAACCAAGUGAGUGGCGGACGGGUGAGUAACACGUGGGUAACCUGCCCAUUAGAGGGGGAUAACAUUCGGAAACGGAUGCUAAUACCGCAUAGUUUCAGGGAUCGCAUGAUUCUUGAAGGAAAGGUGGCUUCGGCUACCACUAAUGGAUGGACCCGCGGCGUAUUAGCUAGUUGGUGAGGUAAUGGCUCACCAAGGCAAUGAUACGUAGCCGACCUGAGAGGGUGAUCGGCCACACUGGGACUGAGACACGGCCCAGACUCCUACGGGAGGCAGCAGUAGGGAAUCUUCCGCAAUGGACGAAAGUCUGACGGAGCAACGCCGCGUGAGUGAAGAAGGUUUUCGGAUCGUAAAACUCUGUUGUUAAAGAAGAACAAGGAUGAGAGUAACUGCUCAUCCCCUGACGGUAUUUAACCAGAAAGCCACGGCUAACUACGUGCCAGCAGCCGCGGUAAUACGUAGGUGGCAAGCGUUGUCCGGAUUUAUUGGGCGUAAAGCGAGCGCAGGCGGUUCUUUAAGUCUGAUGUGAAAGCCCCCGGCUCAACCGGGGAGGGUCAUUGGAAACUGGAGAACUUGAGUGCAGAAGAGGAGAGUGGAAUUCCACGUGUAGCGGUGAAAUGCGUAGAUAUGUGGAGGAACACCAGUGGCGAAGGCGACUCUCUGGUCUGUAACUGACGCUGAGGCUCGAAAGCGUGGGGAGCAAACAGGG
RNAcentral lists this ribosomal RNA (772 nucleotides) under uncultured Vagococcus sp. Its description in RNAcentral is "bacterial SSU rRNA". It matches the Rfam family "Bacterial small subunit ribosomal RNA", at positions 28 to 777 of the family's 1533-position model. The record is from RNAcentral. Lineage: Bacteria; Bacillati; Bacillota; Bacilli; Lactobacillales; Enterococcaceae.